This 251-nucleotide ribosomal RNA is filed under the name uncultured bacterium. RNAcentral describes it as "partial 16S ribosomal RNA". It matches the Rfam family "Bacterial small subunit ribosomal RNA", at positions 1250 to 1500 of the family's 1533-position model. The record is from RNAcentral.
CGAGCGAGUGAUCGUAAGCAAAUCUCAAAAAUAACGUCUCAGUUCGGAUUGUAGUCUGCAACUCGACUACAUGAAGUUGGAAUCGCUAGUAAUCGCGAAUCAGAAUGUCGCGGUGAAUACGUUCCCGGGUCUUGUACACACCGCCCGUCACACCAUGGGAGUCGGGAAUGCCCGAAGUCAGUGACCCAACCGGAAGGAGGGAGCUGCCGAAGGCAGGCUCGAUAACUGGGGUGAAGUCGUAACAAGGUAGC